Vigna unguiculata (cowpea) is the source of this 590-nucleotide long non-coding RNA. Lineage: Eukaryota; Viridiplantae; Streptophyta; Magnoliopsida; Fabales; Fabaceae. The record is from RefSeq and is a predicted model, not a curated record.
ACCACCCGUUUCUUUAUCUCCAUUCUAUUUCUACUCCUUUCUCUAUAUCUCUUUAUUUUCUCAUGAUUUCUAUUAAGCCAAACAAAGUUUAAGUAAAGAUGGUGUGAAAAUUUAUUUAGUAAAAUUUUGUUAAGUUUUAUAGACGAUUUAGCUUUAUUUACUGGAUCAAUUUCAGUAAAAUUUCUAGUGUUUCCCCAUUUAUUGAGAUUAUAGUGUUUGUAGAAAUGUCUCAGUGACGUUUGAGCUCAAAGGUACAUGUUCUUGCAGUGACUUUGUUCAAUUAUUUCCACAUCAGAAAGUAUAAUUACAUUCUCCAUUUUCUGCAAAUUAUUCGGGGAAAGGUUGCAAGAGGAGAAUAAAUUGCAGUGAUACUUCCAAUAAUGAAGAUUAGAGCCAAGGUUUAGAGGAGUAUAAUACUGAUACUUAAUUUCAUGGGAAAGAAAGUUUUGUAAAUGUUGUUUAGUUUUUAUGUGCUCUUACAAAAAUAUUUAGAAUUCUGAUAAGAACUGCUAUUUGAGAACCUUGUAAAACUGUAAGAUCUGAGUGUGGAAUACUGAGUAUAAUGUGAUAGUCUCUGCUUUAUUUCUUUU